AGAAAGAAGAAUUAUUUAUUAAAAGAUAGUAAUUCAUAGAGGGCUCUUGAUGAUUUACCGUAGAAAAUGUAAACAUAUUAUUCAUGAUACGUGACGGAUUGAAUUAUUUAUCCUGAAUGAUCUGCUAAUUCCUAAAUGAAGACAGAUAUGCAAGAUGUCUGGCUCAAAUAUUCCUUUUGAUGGUGAAUUAAAUGGCUUGAUAAAAGAAUAUCUUGAAUUUUUUGGACUGGAAAAUGCUUGCAACUCUUUUGUAGAGGACUGUAAAAAGUUAUGUAUUCCUGUUAAUGAGUGUAGUGCCAAAUCUAAAAAGAGAGAGAGCAUGCUGAAACUUAAAGAUCAGUUACUUUCUUACUUUGAUGAAGGAGACCGAAUUAAAUUUUUUUCUGUUUGGACUUCACAUAUAAAUUCAAAAUCAAUUUCUAAUAAUAAAACAAUGGAAGAAUUAGAAUUUCAAUUACAGAUCCAUUUUGCAAUUUUUCCUUUCCGAAGAAAAAAUCAAUUGAAAAAUGCAGAUUGUGAAACUGCUAUGUGCUAUUUUCGUUCAUAUCUAGAAACAAAAGGUACUGCUCUAAGUCAAAAUGAUGAUGUAUUACCAUAUUAUGCCUUACCUUUCAUUCCCAAUCCACAAAUUCAUCCAUCAUUCAGAAAACUUUUUGAGGAAAAUUGGGUAGCUAAAUUGAGAGAUCAAUUAGAACAUUAUCUCUUUGGUUUAAUAGAAAAUACAGAUGAAGUACAGAAGCAGCCUUGCUUAAUGAAGCUAUAUGUAUCCUAAAUUAAUAAAAUAUAUAAACUAAUAUGCAGGAAGAAUUGAACACUGCAGAAAUUAAAUGGAAGGAAUCAGAAAGGAAAAACAGCAUUCAAUCAAAACAACUUGUAAAAUUACAGGAAGAUUGUCGUGUAUUGAUGACAGUGUUAAAUAAUUUUAUUGCUGCU
This 933-nucleotide unclassified non-coding RNA is filed under the name Centruroides sculpturatus (bark scorpion). Its description in RNAcentral is "lisH domain-containing protein ARMC9-like, transcript variant X3". Lineage: Eukaryota; Metazoa; Arthropoda; Arachnida; Scorpiones; Buthidae. The record is from RNAcentral.